Molecule: ribosomal RNA, 253 nt
Filed under: uncultured bacterium
Lineage: Bacteria
Description: partial 16S ribosomal RNA
Rfam family: Bacterial small subunit ribosomal RNA
Source: RNAcentral
UACGUAGGCAGCAAGCGUUGUUCGGAGUUACUGGGCGUAAAGAGUGCGUAGGCGGUGCUCUAAGUUUGGUGUGAAAUCUCCCGGCUUAACUGGGAGGGUGCGCCGAAAACUGGAGUGCUUGAGUAUGGGAGAGGCAAGCGGAAUUCCUGGUGUAGCGGUGAAAUGCGUAGAUAUCAGGAGGAACACCGGUGGCGAAGGCGGGUCUCUGGGCCGAUACUGACGCUGAGGAGCGAAAGCGUGGGGAGCGAACAGG